This 1418-nucleotide long non-coding RNA is filed under the name Calidris pugnax (ruff). RNAcentral's name for it is "lncRNA (ENSCPUG00000008656.1)". The record is from RNAcentral. Lineage: Eukaryota; Metazoa; Chordata; Aves; Charadriiformes; Scolopacidae.
GAUUUCCUGAGGGGAUGGCUAAAACACAUUCACUUUUGGUUGUUUUUUCUUUCUUAUUUAUUGCUAGGUCAGUUUGGGCCAGUUUCAGUCACGGAGCAGACGAACACUAGGGCACCGUAAAGAGCAUGUGAAGGAGAAAGAGUCUUCAGCAGCACUGGCUGAGACAGCCUUACACUGACUCAUGGCAUCCCGCUGGCACCCCGUGCCUCCUAGAGAGGAGAAGUUUGUCUCCUGAGUUAUGUGAUGGAGAAGCUGGAGUUCACUCAGGGUUCCAAUACUUGCUGAUCCUGCAAUAUGGCUCUUGGAAAUGGCCUCUGAGAAGAGAGAACUGGAGACCUUGGAUCUGUGCUGACUUUGUGCCUGUGAUAGGUUCCUGUUCAGAGGAAAGGUGUGUGUUUCCAUAUCAAUCAAAGUCUUUCAGCUACUGUUUUGAUACUUCUCAAAUGUUACAAGUACUUUUGUCAUCCUUUUUAUUCAUGGUAAAUUUUCUUCUGCUUGGCACGCCAGGAAUGUAUGUGUAGCUGCAGUGAAAUCGGCUAUAUGAGACCCCUUGGAAUAAGAUUCAAGGUGAUUUUCAUUAUGGGACAAAGGAUUAUGGGGCAAAAAAUGUCUGAUAUUUUUAUUUAGAUUAUUUUUUUCUUAUAUUUUUAUUGUGCCCCGUUUUUGGCAAGAGCCAGAUGUUAGCUUGGGUUUUUUCACCUGAGUUCUUUGACAACUUGUCCUGCACAGUUAGCGAGGAAGAAAAACAUUAGGAUUUUCUGAGAUUGUGAGUAGGACCAAAGUCGGGGUGUCUCUUAUGCCAGACUUCUGUAGAGGCCUCACCAAUGUUUCGUAGCAUUGGGGUGGCGAAAUUGGCUGAUGAAGAAAGUCCUUGAGAACAGGAAGACUAAAGAGCUUGUUCUCCUUCUGUGUGCUUAUUGUGAGAGCUAUGGACAUCAUGACUGGAUAUUAACAUUAUCAUUAAUAUCCAACAAGCAGCAAAGCAUAUAGUAACAGAAAUUCUUUACAUACAGCACAAUGAGAGCCUAUAAGAAAUAAUGAUAGUACUUAACAGCUAAUAUUACAAUUAAUUGUUUGUGUUUGCCUAGCACCUCUGCACCCUGGGGUGGGCCAUGGGUAUGUUUAGUGAGAUGCAAUAACUCCAGGCAAGGAGAUGAUACGGGUUAAGGUCCUGCUGCAUCGACAGCCUCGCCAGGGCACCACUGCACUGUUGGGAAAACAGCGUCUGACCGCCUGUAGCUGCUGUGUCAACACCCACAGGAUAUCUGAGGGAAGGCCUGGCGUUUGAUCGCCGCUCUGAUACCGCCUGGCAAUUUACACAAGCUGGGGACAUGCCUCCAGAGUAUUUUUGGUUGAGCGUUGUCUAAACACAAGAGCUUUUACGGUUCAUUUCCUCAGCUUGUCUUGAAACAAAACCA